Molecule: unclassified non-coding RNA, 669 nt
Filed under: Hevea brasiliensis (rubber tree)
Lineage: Eukaryota; Viridiplantae; Streptophyta; Magnoliopsida; Malpighiales; Euphorbiaceae
Source: RNAcentral
GGUCUAUUAGCUUUGGGCCGUGGUUUAUUAUCAUUUAUAUCCCAAUCUGAAAGCCUCUACAAGUCCACAUUCUCCUAUUGUUUGCCCAGUUACAAAUCUCCCAAUUUUUCUGGCACACUUAGAUUAGGCCCAAAAGGCCAGCCACUGAGGAUUAAAACCACACCAUUGCUAAGAAACCCAAGGAGAUCAUCCUUUUACUAUGUCAAUUUAGUCGGAGUUAAAGUCGGAAAACGAAUCGUCGAUAUCCCUCCCAGUGCAUUCGCUUUCGAUUCCAACACCGGCGCCGGCACAAUAAUCGAUUCCGGCACUGUGUUUACCAGACUCGUUGACCAAGCUUACACGGCGGUGAGAAAUGAAUUCAGGAGGAGAAUGGGGAGGAACGCGACGGUGACAUCACUUGGUGGAUUCGACACCUGCUACACCGUCCCUAUAACAAUUCCAACAAUAACAUUUAUGUUCGCCGGAAUGAACGUGACGCUGCCGCAAGACAACUUCCUGAUUAAAAGUAGCUCAAGCAGCACCACUUGCUUAGCCAUGGCUGCUUCACCUACCGAUCCAGUGAAUUCCGUGCUCAACGUGAUCGCCAGCUGGCAGCAACAGAAUCAUCGGAUUCUCUUUGACGUACCAAAUUCUAGGGUUGGGGUUGCCCGUGAAACCUGUAGCUGAAAA